Molecule: long non-coding RNA, 462 nt
Organism: Rhipicephalus microplus (southern cattle tick)
Lineage: Eukaryota; Metazoa; Arthropoda; Arachnida; Ixodida; Ixodidae
Source: RefSeq, a predicted model, not a curated record
ACCUCUAUCGACUCAAUACGCUUGGCUACGAAAUAUAGACAACAACCUCCUAUUGUACAGAAACCUUCUGCAGUCAAAAGCAGCGCUGCAACGUAAUGGCCUUUGUGGCAGCUUUAUUCUUGCUUACCUUUGUUGCUUUCCGACUUGCUUACGUUGUGGAUGAAACUUGUGAUGGAAAAGGCUUUGGAUGCAUAUUUUUCGCCGACUGUCCGCCGAAUACAUCAGUGCCCCUUCCUGGAUGUUCAGGAUGGAAAUCUUGUUGUGGAGAUCCGAAGCUUGGAGAGUGCUACUACAAGGGAGGUGUUUGCAAGGACAAUUGCAGCGAUUCAGAUAUUGAGCAGAAGUAUGGACGCUGUACCAGAAACCGAACGUGCUGUGUUCCCUUAGCCAAAUCUCCUCGAUAUUUUUAACAACGGCUACAUUUUAAACUUGACACCCGGUAAGAACCGUUAUAUAAUUCUC